Molecule: ribosomal RNA, 1050 nt
Filed under: Halomonas elongata
Lineage: Bacteria; Pseudomonadati; Pseudomonadota; Gammaproteobacteria; Oceanospirillales; Halomonadaceae
Description: bacterial SSU rRNA
Rfam family: Bacterial small subunit ribosomal RNA
Source: RNAcentral
CAUGCAAGUCGAGCGGAACGAUCCUAGCUUGCUAGGAGGCGUCGAGCGGCGGACGGGUGAGUAAUGCAUAGGAAUCUGCCCGGUAGUGGGGGAUAACUUGAGGAAACUCAAGCUAAUACCGCAUACGCCCUACGGGGGAAAGCAGGGGCUCUUCGGACCUUGCGCUAUCGGAUGAGCUUAUGUCGGAUUAGCUGGUUGGUGAGGUAACGGCUCACCAAGGCGACGAUCCGUAGCUGGUCUGAGAGGAUGAUCAGCCACAUCGGGACUGAGACACGGCCCGAACUCCUACGGGAGGCAGCAGUGGGGAAUAUUGGACAAUGGGGGCAACCCUGAUCCAGCCAUGCCGCGUGUGUGAAGAAGGCCCUCGGGUUGUAAAGCACUUUCAGCGAGGAAGAAUGCUUGUCGGUUAAUACCCGGCAAGGGAGACAUCACUCGCAGAAGAAGCACCGGCUAACUCCGUGCCAGCAGCCGCGGUAAUACGGAGGGUGCGAGCGUUAAUCGGAAUUACUGGGCGUAAAGCGUGCGUAGGCGGCUUGAUAAGCCGGUUGUGAAAGCCCCGGGCUCAACCUGGGAACGGCAUCCGGAACUGUUAGGCUAGAGUGCAGGAGAGGAAGGUAGAAUUCCCGGUGUAGCGGUGAAAUGCGUAGAGAUCGGGAGGAAUACCAGUGGCGAAGGCGGCCUUCUGGACUGACACUGACGCUGAGGUACGAAAGCGUGGGUAGCAAACAGGAUUAGAUACCCUGGUAGUCCACGCCGUAAACGAUGUCGACUAGCCGUUGGGGUCCUCGAGACCUUUGUGGCGCAGUUAACGCACUAAGUCGACCGCCUGGGGAGUACGGCCGCAAGGUUAAAACUCAAAUGAAUUGACGGGGGCCCGCACAAGCGGUGGAGCAUGUGGUUNANUUCGAUGCACGCGAAGAACCUUUACCUACCCUUGACAUCGUGCGAACUUUCCAGAGAUGGAUUGGUGCCUUCGGGGAGCGCACAGACAGGUGCUGCAUGGCUGUCGUCAGCUCGUGUUGNGAAAUGUUGGGUUAAGUCCGUAACGAG